GGAGACGGAUGCGGUCUUUUGAAGGCCUUAGUCCCUGCCCUGGUGAAGCCGACUGCGAGGUUCCGCAGGGCAUGCAGGCGGCCCGGGGAUCGCUGCGAAGGGGUUGCGGGCUAACUUAGCUACUGCCGUUUCUAGAUAUGCAACUGUCGAGGCCCUGUUUACAAGCGGGCAUAAGGACAGAGUAUUAAGGGAGAACUCAAGAGAAUGGAAAGGCCUUUCGGGUAGUGGUUAAAAUAAAGAAGAGUAGAAACUAGGUUUUUAAAUUUUAAAUGAAAUUAUAUCAGGCAGAAUUUCUGUUGGAUCUCAGGAUGCACCAUCCAAAAAUAGGACUGUAGGAGAACAGAAUAUGCCAUGCUACAGUAUACUUCUAGGGUAUAUUUUGAGCAGGUAUUCUGAUAAGAUGCAGACACAUGAGUCGCUCUGAAAAUCUGUCCUCUUGUAAAAGAAAUUUACAUCUUCAGAGGAAAUAUACAUCAGUAAAGCAUCUAUAUCACGAAGAGGGCAGCUCUGCGAUAAUUUUUGUUACCUGGGAGAUUUUAUCUGCAUACCAAGACAACUUUUAUUCACUGUUUAUUUCCUCCCCUCACCUUUCCACAACUUUGUGGCCAGCCAUCCCCCAGAAAGCCGCAAACCACCAUUUCUUGAGUAGGGUAAGAUGCUGUAUAAUCUUCAAUCAUCUGACCAUGGUGGGACUCCUCUGCAUGUGUAGUUAAGUACGGGUUUUUUUUCUUGUUAAUGUCUAUGUCAAGUUAAUUUGUAACUCAGCCAAAGAACCUAGGAGGAUGGAGGGAAGCUGUUUUUCCCUCUCCUACACCUCAGUAACCUACUGCCAGCUGACGAAAUAGAACAUUACUAAAGCCACCUGUACAUCUUUCUCCUUUUGAAUUAACCUUCACUCCGAAGAAGUAAUGGAUUUUCUGAAUUUACUGUUAACUUCUACCAUGCAGAUUUUUAUAUAUUAAUGACACAUUUUUUAUAUUAAUGACUAAAUCCCUGAAUGAGGAUAUUGUACUAUUUUGCAUGUUUUAACCAUUAAAUGAAUAAUUAUGUGUGCCUCUGGCUUUUUUCAAUCAAUAUUGCUGUGGUUCAUGUUGAUAUAUUAAUAAUAGUAACUCGCACGUGAUUGACCUUUAUCAUUCUAAGCACUUUACUUCAUUUAUUGCUCACAAACCCCGUAGGAUAACUUUGAUCUUUUAAGAUGAGGAAACUGCGACACAGACAGGUUGCUAUAGUACUCCAUUGUAUUAAUAUGCCAUACCUUAUCCAUUCUCCUGCUUAAUUCCUCAAACUUUGUAGAUAUUCAACUGCUAGUUAAGAUAAGAAUGUGGAAACAUUUGUGUUGCCCAUAAUUUUGCUUUGUGAUAUUUCUAAUAUUUAUUUCUAUUUUUAUUUUGAGACAGAGUCUUGCUCUGUCACCCAGGCUGGAGUGCAAUGGCACAAUCUUGGCUCACUGCAACCUCUGCCUCCCCAGGUUCAAGCAAUUCUCCUGCCUCAGUCUCCCAAGUAGCUGGGUUACAGGCCUGGCUACUUUUUUGUAUUUUUAAUAGAGACGGGUUUCUCCAUGUUGGCCAGGCAGGUCUCGAACUCCUGACCUCAGGUGAUCCACCCGCCUUUGCCUCCUAAAGGGUUGGGAUUGCAGGCGUGAGCCAGCUAGUAUUUCUUUAUUGUAUUCAACUUGGCUGUCUCACCAACAGAGACAUCACACCAUUUUGUCAGUUACAGAAGAAUGAGACAUCUGGCCGCCAGAGGUCAGCCUAACUAUAUUUUGGUUAGGUUUGUUUUUGUUGUUUUUUUUUUUUUUUUCAAUGGUUAAAGCCAUGGGGGGAGGGGUUCAGUUUUUUUGAUAUUAUAAUCUGAAAAUAUUUUUUUAAAGAUGCUAGAUUAAAUUUAAACAACAUAGUAUACUGCCUUAAAGCUUACAUGUUUCCUGACUUCUGUACUGUGAAACAGAACAAAAACAAUUAUGGGAAAGUAAGAGCCUUUUUAAAAAUUUUCUGAGUAACAUAAUAACUGAAGUUUAGCCAAUUAGUAAUCUCACAGGUGCAAUCUGGUUGAAGUGAAAAUAGCAAAAAUAUUAGAGGACAGCACAAUUAAAAACCAACAGCUUCUCCUGUCUCAGUUAAUAAAGACUAACAGGUCCACGACAAAGAUUGAAUACUCUUUUUCAGAUUGAACCCGGUAAUAGUAUUAUAAACUAAGAAGUAUUACAUUGUUUCUUCUUAAAGGUAUAAGCAGUUUCCUUUAUAUUUUCGUAGUAGCAUCAUAUAUGUUGAUCCUGCCUUAAAAAAUUAUCUCAUUUGUCUUUGUCUAACAUUACCAUAUCAAGCUAUAACUUGGGAACUGUUCUCUCCCUGGAGUAAAAUAGAACUUGCUUGUGGUAGUUACUUACUGCAAGCCUUUGCCAUUCUCUGAUUGUUUCAGAUACAUUUACUGAGCCACUCAUAUAUGCCAGACACUGUGCUAGGAGUGUGUGAAAGCCAGAGAAAUACUCAUUAGAGGAAAAUUGCUGACCUGAAGCCAUACCAUAUGACCUUAUUAGCACAACUCAGUGUAUUCGAUAAUGAAAAUGUCCACUGACUUUAAUUUUGGAAAUGCCCCCUACAGAGUAGCAUAAACGACACAUUGAUACUGUUUCUUUUCUCAUGUCAAGCUAUGCCUUUAAAGGCCACCUAUGUUGCUAUAUAUACUUGGAAUGUAUUUCCACCACAUUUUACUAGUCCGCUUCUCUAGGUAUAGGAACCUGGAAUGCUUCUAAUUCCUGUCAUCACAGAUGUAGCUUCAGGGUAUAUCUUCAUACAUGUUCUUACGGGAAUUUCUUUGCUAUCUAUGCCCAAAAGUAGGAUUGCUAGAUCGUGAGAUGUGCAAAUAGUUUGCCUAAGUAGUGCUGCCAGUCUGUUAGGAACAGUUACUCCACUCUGCAAUCCCACCAGCAGUGCCAGUUCCAAAAAAUAACUCACUGACACUUGGCAUUAUCCAGCUUUCUUAUUCUACCAAACUGAUAGCAUAAUGUGAUCAUAUUGUUCAUGCUUUGGGAUUUUCUCUUCUAUAAUUUAGAUGUCUUUGUCCUUUGCUCAUUUCUUUAUUGAAGUUGCUAUCUUUCUUAAAAAUUGAUAUAACUUUGUCCUUGGUAUCUUUAGUUCAGUCCAGAAAUGAUUAAUUGUGAUGUGAUUAAAUUCAUUUUUUGGUCUGGUGCUUUAUGCUUUUUUGUUUAAGAAGUCUUUCCCUGGCCUCAUUUCACAAAGAUAUUCUGUAUUAUAUUUAACUAACUAUACGGUUUUACCAUCCCCAUUUAGAUCUUUAAUCCAUCAUGAAUCCUUCCUUAUACAUGUCAUUAUAUGUAUAGGUAUUACAUGGUUUUGCUUUUCAUUUUUUUUCUUAACCUUGUUCUUAAUUUUUUGUUCUUGUUCCAAUAGUUUUGCUUUUUUUAAUAUAGUGAGCCAGUUGUACCAAUAUUAUGUACUAAACAUAUCCAUUCACCCUUAGUUUAUGUACCAACCUUAUUUUAUAUUACAUUCCCAAAUUAUAUAUAGCUCUGUUUCUAAGCUCUUUUCUGCUCUGUUGGACUAUUGUCUGUUCUUACACUAAUGCUACCCUAUUUUAAUUUCUGUGACGUUAGUCAUAGUACAUACCUUGAAGAAUAGGAACUCCCUUACUCUUCUGUUUAAACAGUUCAUUUGGCUAUAUGUGGAAUUUUAUUCUUUCUAUAUAACCUUUAUAUAGAGUUCCUUAAAAUUUUGAUUGGAAUUGUAUAAAUUAAUAGGGAGAAAGUUGAUAUCUUUAUGAUAUUUGUUCCAUCCAAGAGCAUGGAAUGUCUAUAUUUUAAAUUAUCUUCUAUAUUGUUUAUUAAAUCUUAUAUAUUAGUGAUUAGUUCCUAGGUUCUUUAUAGGAUUAGGUUUUUGUUGUUUUUCCUUCUGUGAAAUGUCUUUAUAUAUGGUCUAGUUAGUAUUGCUAGUAUAAAAGUUAACAGUGCCUGAGUUGAAACACUGGCCCUGUGACUUACUAGAUGAAUGACUUUGGUCACGUAACUUAAUCCACAGGUAAGAUGGGGACAAUAAAAGUACCACCUUUUAGGGUUGUUAGAAGAAUUUUAAAGUAGUUAACAUUUGUGCAGUUACUAGAGUAGUACAUGGCAAAUAAUAAGUGUUAUAUAAGUAAUUAAAUUAAUGGAUAGUCAUAAGUUAAUCUCAGAUCAGGAACCUUGUUGAACUCGAAAAGUUUGGUUUUUUUUUAAUUAGAUGAUAUCAUCUGUAAACUAAUAGUUUUAUCUCUUCCAAUUCUUAACAUAUCUUUUUCCAAAAAGAGAAAAACGUUGAUUAGGACUUUCCGUCCUGUGUUAGACAGUAUCAGUCUCAGUCAACAUGGUCAUCUUUAGCUAAUUUCACUUUUUUGUUGUUGUUGUUGAGAAGAGUCUCAUUCUGUCACCCAGACUGGAGUACAGCAGUGUAAUCAUAGCUCACUACGCAGCCUCCAACUCCUGGGCUCAAGCAGUCCUCCUGCCUCAGCCUCCCAAGUAGCUAGAACUAAAGGCAAACACCACCAUACCUGGCUAAAUUUUUUAAAAUUUUUUUGUGGAGACAGGGUCUUGCUAUGUUGCCCAGGCUGGUCUUGAACUCCUGACCUCAAGUGGUCCUCCACCCUUGGCCUCCCAAAAUGCUAGGAUUACAAGCAUGAGCCACUGUGCCCGUCACUUCACUUUUAAAGGAAAUAUAUCUCAUCUUAUUCAGGAUAAUGUUUGCUUAAAAUUUUGGUAGAUAACCUUUACCAAGUUGAGAAAGUUACAUUCUCCUUCUAGUUUAGUAAAAAUGUUUUGUUUUGUCUUUUAAAGCAUAAAUACAUGUUGGUCAGGAACUAACAAAGGUUAUCCACAUUCAAUAUAAUGAUCUAUUUUUUUCCUUUAGUUCUGGUAAUUUGUACAUUUUUUAUAAUUUGAGUUAUUCUUACUUUCCUGGGAUAGGCCGUAUUUGAUAAUUUUUUUUAAUGUACUGUUGGAUUCUGUUAAUUGAUAUUUAGGAUUUUGCAAGUGAAGUAAGCCUAUAGUUUUCUUGUUUGGUUCAUCUGUAAGUUUGGAAUUUAUUGUUGUUAUCUUUAUAAAAGGAGCUGGUCAGUUUUCAUGCUUUUUUCUUUUUUGUGGAACAGCUUAUAUAGAAUUGGUCAUAGGAUCACAACUUCUGAGGUCCCAGCAAGAGUCCUAACAUCUAGCAGCUCUACCACCAGGACAGGCCCCCUAAAACUAAUUCCAACAAGCACCUCUGAAGUCUUCUCAUUCACAGGUUAAGGCUACCUUUCCAGAUAGUCCAACAGCUAAAUCACCAGUUUCCAAGGGCAUUUACGUCACCUAUGGAAAGCAUCGGAUCCUUUUACACCAGAUGUUCUUGACAGCUCAUCCCAUCAUUCCCCACUGCACAAAAGUUGCUAUACCAGCGGACAACCAAGACAACUACUGAGCUUCUUUUCGUUGUCAAGUAGAUAUAAUAUCACUGCCAGCAAAACAGCACAAAAAGUGUCUCUUCACAGUAUCACUACCAAUUGGGACUAUGCUAAGUAAAUCAGCUUGCCUAGAUGAGGACCUCUUGUAUUCUUGGGUAGCCAGGAUUUGAAGGAGAUACUCUGACCUGUGCCACUGUGCCUUGCUCAUGAAUGCAUUUUUGCUCUUCACUUCGAAAGGAAGCCUUUCCCCAGCUUGGCAGCUGAAUAAACCAAUAGCUUUGUACAUGUUGAACAGCGUAUGGUCAUUUGUCCUCAACAAAUGAAAUAGAUCCUACUUUGCUUAAGACAUAUUCAACAUUCACUAAGUACUGAAUAGAGUUAAUAGACACAGUACCUGAAUCUAUAUAGUAUGUCUGACAGGAGAUGAUUUGACGUCUCUAGAGAAGAAACGCACUUGAAGAAGAAAAUGUCUGAUACUCAGUCAAGAUUCAAAGUGAGCUUAUUUGUUUAUAUAUUUUAAGUAAUUCCAGGUUGCACAAAAUAACAGGUACGUAAAUAAGCCUUAAGUUAACUUUUUGUGUGGCAUAAACACUGGGUUUGGAAAUGAAUUUACUACAUUUGCACUCACUAUGUUGGCUUCUGGGUAAAUGCAGUCACUAUAAUUAGGAUAAAAAGAUGAAUUUAUCCUCUCCUUAUAGAAAUAUUUAUCAAAGGAGUAAGGAAACUAUUUCUAAACCAGUGGACAUUAACUGUCUUUUACUCUCAGUGCAGA
Piliocolobus tephrosceles (Ugandan red Colobus) is the source of this 6199-nucleotide RNA transcript. It is a transcript of the gene named DDB1 and CUL4 associated factor 16, with no coding region annotated. The transcript is spliced from 3 exons. The record is from RefSeq and is a predicted model, not a curated record. NCBI's taxonomy places the organism in Eukaryota, Metazoa, Chordata, Mammalia, Primates, Cercopithecidae.